RNAcentral lists this small RNA (594 nucleotides) under Pongo abelii (Sumatran orangutan). RNAcentral's name for it is "retained intron". The stretch from base 345 to 413 matches the Rfam family "Small nucleolar RNA SNORD2". The record is from RNAcentral. Lineage: Eukaryota; Metazoa; Chordata; Mammalia; Primates; Hominidae.
CUUUUCAGUCGGGCGCUGAGUGGUUUUUCGGAUCAUGUCUGGUGGCUCCGCGGAUUAUAACAGCAGAGAACAUGGCGGCCCAGAGGGAAUGGACCCCGAUGGUGUCAUCGAGAGCAACUGGAAUGAGAUUGUUGAUAACUUUGAUGAUAUGAAUUUAAAGGAGUCUCUUCUUCGUGGCAUCUAUGCUUACGGUUUUGAGAAGCCUUCCGCUAUUCAGCAGAGAGCUAUUAUUCCCUGUAUUAAAGGUAAAAGAAACUGGCAUUUUUAGGAAAUUGUUGUACAUAGACAUGAACCAUAAAAGGGAAAGUAACCUCUGGGGGACUAGCACCUGUUUGUAUUCCUUAAAGUGAAAUGAUGGCAAUCAUCUUUCGGGACUGACCUGAAAUGAAGAGAAUACUCAUUGCUGAUCACUUGAUUAUUUGGGCAUAAUUCAUGUUCCAAAUGGAAUACAUGGUGUGAAGUAGAAGUGACAAUUUGAUGUGGGAUCGGUAAAUAUGUAUCCUACUUUUUUUAGGGUAUGAUGUGAUUGCUCAAGCUCAGUCAGGUACUGGCAAGACAGCCACAUUUGCUAUUUCCAUCCUGCAACAGUUGGAG